Gregarina niphandrodes is the source of this 73-nucleotide non-coding RNA. The record is from the annotation of a RefSeq genome assembly. Lineage: Eukaryota; Apicomplexa; Conoidasida; Eugregarinorida; Gregarinidae.
UCCGCUGUAGUCUAGGUCGCAAGGAUAUACGGCUUUCACCCGUACGGCCCGGGUUCGGGUCACGGCAGUGGAU